Molecule: ribosomal RNA, 510 nt
Filed under: uncultured bacterium
Lineage: Bacteria
Description: partial 16S ribosomal RNA
Rfam family: Bacterial small subunit ribosomal RNA
Source: RNAcentral
GACGAACGCUGGCGGCGUGCUUAACACAUGCAAGUCGAACGAAGAGCGAUGGACGCUUGCUUCUAUCAAUCUUAGUGGCGAACGGGUGAGUAACGCGUAAUCAACCUGCCCUUCAGAGGGGGACAACAGUUGGAAACGACUGCUAAUACCGCAUACGAUCUAAUCUCGGCAUCGAGGAUAGAUGAAAGGUGGCCUCUACAUGUAAGCUAUCACUGAAGGAGGGGAUUGCGUCUGAUUAGCUAGUUGGAGGGGUAACGGCCCACCAAGGCGAUGAUCAGUAGCCGGUCUGAGAGGAUGAACGGCCACAUUGGGACUGGGACACGGCCCAGACUCCUACGGGAGGCAGCAGUGGGGAAUCUUCUGCAAUGGACGAAAGUCUGACGGAGCAACGCCGCGUGAGUGAUGACGGCCUUCGGGUUGUAAAGCUCUGUUAAUCGGGACGAAAGGCCUUCUUGCGAACAGUUAGAAGGAUUGACGGUACCGGAAUAGAAAGCCACGGCUAACUACGUG